AGGGUGCUGAACUCCAGCCAGCUGAUCCACCUUUAAGAAAACUCUUCAUCUCUAAAGAAAAAAGCAUGUGCAUGAAUCUACAAUGUGUGGAUAGAUUUUUUUUUUUUUUAAAUGAUUCCCAGCUUGCACCCAGCUGUUUUUGAACUGAUGACUCCUGGUACUAAUUCAAACCUUGCUGUAGCUGGCAGGUACUCUCUCUACCUCCCUGUGAGCGGAGAUAAAGGUGAGAAUGACUUUAAGAGAGGUUGUUGUUGUUGUUAGGUGCCGUCCUGUUGGUUCUGACUCAUAGCGACCCUGUGCACACCAGAACACAACACUGCCUGGUUCUGCACCAUCCUCGCAAUUGUUGCUAUGUUUGAGCCCAUUGUUGCAGCCACUGUGUCAAUCCAUUUCGUUGAGGUUCUUCCUCUUUUUCACUGACCCUCUCUCUACCUUAUCAGGCAUGAUAUCUUUCUCUAGGGACUGGUCCCUCCUGAUAACAUGUCCAAAGUAUGUGAGGUGUAGUCUCGCCACCCUUCUUCCAAGGAGCAUUCUGGUUGCUCUUUAAGACAGGUGGUAAGUACCAGUUUCCAACCUUCUCUUCCUCACAAUCUUGGAACAGUUGGCUCUGAUCUCGUCUUUCCUAUUGUUCCCUCGCCCUGUGCCAAGAGAGACCCACAGCUCUCUGCUGGGCUACAUCAUGUUUGAAAAGUAAAGAAGCUGGUGUAUAAAAUGGACUUCACUGAUGCAGCCAGGCAAAGCGGUUGGACUUUCCCUAAUACUUCCCUUCUUCCACAGAGCAUCCCUGGAUUGCCCUAGGAAGCCAAGUCUGCAGGUGCUGUUCUCUCUGCAUCCAUUCCAAUGUUCCUUUCCAGAUGCAGCCUUGGGGGUGCCCCCAUUUUUAUGAGGCGUGGACAGCCAUGGGAGAGCUCGGGGUUCCUUCUGGAGAGCUGCACCUGUGCCUUAAGAGGCAUUUGCCUCCCCUGACUUGAUUGUAGGUUGGGUUUCCAUCAGCAUUGUGAUAACCUCAUCGUACUGACAGGGCUUCGGAGAAAUCAGCAGAGUUAACCCAACAUCUGCCAGUGCUAAUAGGUUCGUGCUCAGAGCAGAAAAAAUACAAAAGUUGAGCACCACACUUCACAGCCUCAAGAAGGAUUCAAGUUAGAUACCCAUGCUGCGUUGAGGCCACUAAUGAUUUGUAAAGGAUGUACCACUUGACCAAAGAGACAAUAAAAAUAUCCCGCUUCUGUUUAGUUUGAUGUACACUCUUUAGGAGGGUCUCUCAGGGCCAGUGCAAAAUAAAAGUAACAGAAACCGGGAACUACAUGGGUUAAGCGUCAGUUUCUGUCUCCUGCUUUCUUGCCCCAACCCUGGCACAGGCUGUCAGCACUCAGGUGACAGGCCUUAACCCUUUAAAGCCACCUCGCAGUGCCUGCUCUCAGAUACGGAGAUUGGAGCCCACAUCUCGCUGAUUGCAACUGGAUGUGUUACAUUUCUCACAAAACAGCUAGCAGUUCUUAGCACAGUGGGAAGAAAUGUUUUGUUACCAGCAAGGCAGCUGGAAGGUGUAGCCUUCUGGAGUUUUUAAUUACAUUCUUUUAAAACAUAUUCAAUUAACCAAAAAAUAGAUGUAGUAAUUGUGAAGUGAUUAUGUUGUAUGUUUUUCAGAAACCUCUGGGGAGAGGAGGGAGGAGGCGAAAAAUUAAUUGCGAACGCUCUAAAUAAAAAAGGAUACGGAUGUAUUUAGCUCUAAAAAUGAGUGACGCUCACAAUGCCCACCAGCGUUUUUAUUAAUGUAUUUUCACUAUUAAAUAUAUUUAUUAUUAAAUAUGUACAUACAAAAAGAUAGACUGAUAAAAUGAAAAAUGCAUGUCCGCGUCAAUCAGCUUUGUUGUAUUAUAGCAUUUUGCCAUACUCGCUUCAGAUAUUUUUUUCAAGAAUUAAAAUGUUAGGUGCUAUGGAAGCCCAUUUCACUUCUUACCUUCUGAAUAUUUUAAAUUAACAUUGUUUUAAAGGCAUCAAGUCAAACAUCUGAACAACCACCGUCUAAGCGUUUUCUGUCCGGUAGCGAAGCGAGGCUUUGUAGGAGUCAUGCCCAAGAGCACUGCAGAUGAACACAAGCUGUACCACAGGCCGUCCGAAGGGAAGAGCUGAAUUUUCAACAAAUGUCCUUUCUCCUUUUAGCCCUAUUUUUGGUUUUGUGACAGAUAAGAUAUAUUUGCUACCAUUAGGAUGCUUUCUCUGCCCUGAUAGCACAUUUUAUACAGGGGAUGCCAGGAGGCGUGAUUAUGAAAUAAAAACAUUAAUAUAACGUCAGGUUGUACACUAAAUGCCCUAGCAGCCUUGGUCUCUUAAGUUAAUGUGCAGAUUGGCAUUACCCAGAGGGUAUAAGGGAUUAGGGUCAUUAUUCUGCAUUUCUGUGAAAAAGUAACUUCCUAGGAAGAGCCACUGAGCUAUUUUUAACUGUAUAGGAAGAUGAAGUCAACCAUUCUGAUUCAGAGGUUUGCAUCCUGAUAUUAGUAAAACUCCCAGCAAAAGUCCCCAGCCUUCCCGGCCCCCUGCCACGUUUGUGGUAAAAGAAAAAUGGAGACUCACAGCCGUAGUGGGCCAAUGUAAGAUUGCUCCUUGCAGCUUGUGGUGAGAGACGAAAAGCCUUUCGCAAAACGUUAUUCUGAAAAGUGAUUAGGUGGAGCCAGUAAGCCAAAGGUGUUAUGUAAGUCUUUUGUGAAAGAGACUGGAUAAAGCUUUUGGGUGUUUCUGGUGCUAAUUCAGCUGUGAAGUUGCCUAUGAUUUUGAGCACUGACCUUCCGCAGACCCAGCACCAUGGCGACCCAGGCCACAGCAGAAGAUGACACAGAUUAGUACUCGGAUCUAUGGCUCCUGUCCCCAAACAGAGAAGAACUGUGCUCCAUAAGGUUUUCAGGCUGUGACUUUUUGGAAGCAGGUUACCAGGCCUUUCUUCCAAGGUGCCUCUGGAUGUAUUCAAGCUGCCAACGUUUUGUGCCUGGCUGCUCACCGGAAGGACAGCAGUUCGAAUCCACCAGCUGCUCCAUGAGAAAAAGAUGUGACACUCUGCUUCUGUAAAGAUUACAGCCUUGGAAACCGGAUGGGGCCAUUCUACUCUGUGCUAUCAGGUCACUCUGAGUCAGAAUCAACUCACUGGCAAUGGGUUUCGUUUUUUGCUUUGACCAUUGGCAGUGAUAGUGGGGUUGAAGAGAAGAUGACAGAUUCCUGCAAUAUUGAGGUAAACUGAGGCAGAUCUAAGAGGGAUAAAGAGCCCAGAGAGUGGGGAAGCGGAGACGUCACGGAUGUCACAGGUUUCUCUUGAGUUUCUCUUGGUUUUAGAAGAGGUUUUAUUCACAUACAACUGAUACUUUGUUAUUUAUCACUCUGGUGUCUUGAAAAAACAACUGUUGUGCUACAGAGGGACGGACAACCAGUUUUCCUAAGUAACCAAGAGUAUGCAUCAGGGCAAAAGUGCAGGAAGUGAGGAGAGACCAGGAGUCCCCUCCUUCCCCUGGGCAGCUUUGUGUCCUCUGUUCCCAGGCCUCAGCACGCCCUGGCUGUGGAUUGUAUUUCUCAACCCAGCUGCAUUGUCCUUCUUGUUAGCUGGCACAUCUCCCAGAUUCUGGUAAUGGGCUGAUGGACAGUUCUAGUUCUGUGUGCUGUUGUGUUUUUAUUCUUUUCUGUGUUUUGCUAGGUAUUCUGGUAGGAAAUUGGAAGUGUCGGAGUCAGGGGCUCUUUGACAGAAGAAGUACAGCCAGAAUGCUCCUUAGAGGCAAGGAUGGCGAGACUGCGCCUUACAUACUUUGGACAUGCUGUCAGGAGGGAUCAGUCCCUGGAGAAGGACAUCAUGCUUGGCAGAGUACAGGGUCAGCAGAAAAGAGGAAGACCCUCAACGAGGUGGAUUGAGACAGUGGCUGCAAAAAUGAGCUCAAGCAUAACAACGAUUGUGAGGAUGGCUCAGGACUGGGCAGCAUUUCGUUCUGUUGUGCAUAGGGUCACUAUGAGUCGGAAGUGACUCGACGGCACCUAACAACAAAAACAAC
Molecule: long non-coding RNA, 4028 nt
Organism: Loxodonta africana (African savanna elephant)
Lineage: Eukaryota; Metazoa; Chordata; Mammalia; Proboscidea; Elephantidae
Exons: 4
Source: RefSeq, a predicted model, not a curated record